Molecule: ribosomal RNA, 2917 nt
Filed under: Klebsiella pneumoniae
Lineage: Bacteria; Pseudomonadati; Pseudomonadota; Gammaproteobacteria; Enterobacterales; Enterobacteriaceae
Description: bacterial LSU rRNA
Rfam family: Bacterial large subunit ribosomal RNA
Source: RNAcentral
GGGUUGUGAGGUUAAGCGACUAAGCGUACACGGUGGAUGCCCUGGCAGUCAGAGGCGAUGAAGGACGUGCUAAUCUGCGAAAAGCGUCGGUAAGGUGAUAUGAACCGUUAUAACCGGCGAUGUCCGAAUGGGGAAACCCAGUGCAAUUCGUUGCACUAUCGUUAACUGAAUACAUAGGUUAACGAGGCGAACCGGGGGAACUGAAACAUCUAAGUACCCCGAGGAAAAGAAAUCAACCGAGAUUCCCCCAGUAGCGGCGAGCGAACGGGGAGCAGCCCAGAGUCUGAAUCAGCUUGUGUGUUAGUGGAACGGUCUGGAAAGUCCGACGGUACAGGGUGAUAGUCCCGUACACCAAAAUGCACAGGUUGUGAACUCGAAGAGUAGGGCGGGACACGUGGUAUCCUGUCUGAAUAUGGGGGGACCAUCCUCCAAGGCUAAAUACUCCUGACUGACCGAUAGUGAACCAGUACCGUGAGGGAAAGGCGAAAAGAACCCCGGCGAGGGGAGUGAAAAAGAACCUGAAACCGUGUACGUACAAGCAGUGGGAGCACCUUCGGGUGUGACUGCGUACCUUUUGUAUAAUGGGUCAGCGACUUAUAUUCUGUAGCAAGGUUAACCGUAUAGGGGAGCCGCAGGGAAACCGAGUCUUAACUGGGCGUUAAGUUGCAGGGUAUAGACCCGAAACCCGGUGAUCUAGCCAUGGGCAGGUUGAAGGUUGGGUAACACUAACUGGAGGACCGAACCGACUAAUGUUGAAAAAUUAGCGGAUGACUUGUGGCUGGGGGUGAAAGGCCAAUCAAACCGGGAGAUAGCUGGUUCUCCCCGAAAGCUAUUUAGGUAGCGCCUCGUGAACUCAUCUUCGGGGGUAGAGCACUGUUUCGGCUAGGGGGUCAUCCCGACUUACCAACCCGAUGCAAACUACGAAUACCGAAGAAUGUUAUCACGGGAGACACACGGCGGGUGCUAACGUCCGUCGUGAAGAGGGAAACAACCCAGACCGCCAGCUAAGGUCCCAAAGUCAUGGUUAAGUGGGAAACGAUGUGGGAAGGCACAGACAGCCAGGAUGUUGGCUUAGAAGCAGCCAUCAUUUAAAGAAAGCGUAAUAGCUCACUGGUCGAGUCGGCCUGCGCGGAAGAUGUAACGGGGCUAAACCAUGCACCGAAGCUGCGGCAGCGACACUAUGUGUUGUUGGGUAGGGGAGCGUUCUGUAAGCCUGCGAAGGUGUGCUGUGAGGCAUGCUGGAGGUAUCAGAAGUGCGAAUGCUGACAUAAGUAACGAUAAAGCGGGUGAAAAGCCCGCUCGCCGGAAGACCAAGGGUUCCUGUCCAACGUUAAUCGGGGCAGGGUGAGUCGACCCCUAAGGCGAGGCCGAAAGGCGUAGUCGAUGGGAAACAGGUUAAUAUUCCUGUACUUGGUGUUACUGCGAAGGGGGGACGGAGAAGGCUAUGUUAGCCGGGCGACGGUUGUCCCGGUUUAAGCAUGUAGGCUGGUUAUCCAGGCAAAUCCGGAUAAUCAAGGCUGAGGUGUGAUGACGAGGCACUACGGUGCUGAAGUAACAAAUGCCCUGCUUCCAGGAAAAGCCUCUAAGCAUCAGGUAACAUCAAAUCGUACCCCAAACCGACACAGGUGGUCAGGUAGAGAAUACCAAGGCGCUUGAGAGAACUCGGGUGAAGGAACUAGGCAAAAUGGUGCCGUAACUUCGGGAGAAGGCACGCUGGUGUGUAGGUGAAGUCCCUGCGGAUGGAGCUGAGACCAGUCGAAGAUACCAGCUGGCUGCAACUGUUUAUUAAAAACACAGCACUGUGCAAACACGAAAGUGGACGUAUACGGUGUGACGCCUGCCCGGUGCCGGAAGGUUAAUUGAUGGGGUUAUCCGUAAGGAGAAGCUCUUGAUCGAAGCCCCGGUAAACGGCGGCCGUAACUAUAACGGUCCUAAGGUAGCGAAAUUCCUUGUCGGGUAAGUUCCGACCUGCACGAAUGGCGUAAUGAUGGCCAGGCUGUCUCCACCCGAGACUCAGUGAAAUUGAACUCGCUGUGAAGAUGCAGUGUACCCGCGGCAAGACGGAAAGACCCCGUGAACCUUUACUAUAGCUUGACACUGAACAUUGAGCCUUGAUGUGUAGGAUAGGUGGGAGGCUUUGAAGCGUGGACGCCAGUCUGCGUGGAGCCAACCUUGAAAUACCACCCUUUAAUGUUUGAUGUUCUAACGUUGGCCCCUGACCGGGGUUGCGGACAGUGUCUGGUGGGUAGUUUGACUGGGGCGGUCUCCUCCCAAAGCGUAACGGAGGAGCACGAAGGUUAGCUAAUCCUGGUCGGACAUCAGGAGGUUAGUGCAAUGGCAUAAGCUAGCUUGACUGCGAGCGUGACGGCGCGAGCAGGUGCGAAAGCAGGUCAUAGUGAUCCGGUGGUUCUGAAUGGAAGGGCCAUCGCUCAACGGAUAAAAGGUACUCCGGGGAUAACAGGCUGAUACCGCCCAAGAGUUCAUAUCGACGGCGGUGUUUGGCACCUCGAUGUCGGCUCAUCACAUCCUGGGGCUGAAGUAGGUCCCAAGGGUAUGGCUGUUCGCCAUUUAAAGUGGUACGCGAGCUGGGUUUAGAACGUCGUGAGACAGUUCGGUCCCUAUCUGCCGUGGGCGCUGGAGAAUUGAGGGGGGCUGCUCCUAGUACGAGAGGACCGGAGUGGACGCAUCACUGGUGUUCGGGUUGUCAUGCCAAUGGCACUGCCCGGUAGCUAAAUGCGGAAGAGAUAAGUGCUGAAAGCAUCUAAGCACGAAACUUGCCCCGAGAUGAGUUCUCCCUGAGACUUUAAGUCUCCUGAAGGAACGUUAAAGACGAUGACGUUGAUAGGCCGGGUGUGUAAGCGCAGCGAUGCGUUGAGCUAACCGGUACUAAUGAACCGUGAGGCUUCACCUUACAACG